CCUUCUUCUAAAAUCUUCCAAAUGAAGGCAUAAACUUCUCUUAUCUUCUAUGUUUAGCUCUACCUUCAUCUCUUUUUCAUUCCCUGAAAAACUAAAAGCCCUAAAAACCUAACAUCCUCUACUCUCUCUCUCUUCUUCUUGUUCAUGGAAUCAAACCACCGCAGACCCACAGCCUUACCGCGGCAACCAUCGAAGCCCAACCUAACCCACUCCUACCUUUUGUAAUUUCGGCCACCACCGGCAGCAUAGCGAGCGGUACCCUUGUGCACCAGCUCACCGUUAGCUGCUAGUUGUGAGGUAGAGCCAGAACUUAUUCGCUCAUCGUCAAUUCUACUCAAUAUCUCAUAGUUUUCCAUCUUUUACUUGGUACUUAUAAGCUUAGACACAGACAGUAGAAAAGCGAAGCUGCUCUUCUUCUUCCAUUUAUAUAUAUAUUGCUCUUGAGGUAAAGAAUAUUCUAUAGUUAGUAAGUCAAGGAUUACCCUUGAUACUUGCCUACAAUUGUGUAAAGAUAUUCUCUGUACUCUAGUGGUUAAAUACCACGUUUUGAUGAGCAAUACAGGCAGGCAAUUAUCUUCUAUCAUGGUAUCAGAGCCAUACUGCUUCUUCCUCCACGCCUUAAAUUGCACCGCAGCCUCUCUUCAUCAUCCUCUACCUUCCCUUCUGCCUUCUUCUCUUACGCCUCCCAUGGCUAACAAAAUUCCUCCCGCCACCAUAGUCUCUAACAUCAAACAAUGCAUUCCUCUCACCUUGGUCACUGGCGAAAACGAUAAUUACAUCUCUUGGUCUACUCUUUUCAAGCUUCAUGCCCGUGCCUAUCAAGUAUAUGACCAUAUCAUCCCUCCUCCAGCCGAUUCCAACCAAAAGGAACCCACGACCGACGAGAGUGCUCUCUGGAAGAGACUUGAUGCCCUAGUUCUUCAAUGGAUUUACUUCACUAUUUCUACUGAUCUUUUAAACUCUAUUCUCAAUCCCGAUGACACGGCUGCCGGAGCUUGGAAGAAAUUACUUAACAUCUUUCAAGACAACAAAGCUACUAGGGCCUUGCAUCUUGAGGAGGAAUUUGCGGGUACUCAUCUUCGUGAUUUCAAUACUUGCGCGGAUUAUGCCAACCGAUUGAAACACUUAGCCGAUCAACUUGCCAAUGUUGGGGUAUCCGAAGAACGCAUGGUUCUCAAACUCAUUGGUGGUUUCACUAACACCUAUGUUGGCCUCCGACGUGUCAUCUAAAAUAUGCGUCCUCUUCCCACCUUUGCGGAGGCUAAAUCUAUGUUUCUCUUAGAUGAACAACAACAGAAAAAGCUCAUUGAACAAAAUUCAGCCCAUGACUCUGCCCUUCAUACUACUUCUGUUCAUGAUUCCACCGUUGACAAUCGUUCCCGUUCAUCCAGCAACUUCAGCCGUCGACCAUCCAAUCGUGUCCGAGGUCGUGGUGGUACCUAUCAUAGAGGCAGUUGACGAGGUGGUCAUCAAAAUUCCAGCGGCAACCACCACUCCAACACCCAUCAACAAUCUGCCGGCAGUACCCGACAACAGCCCAGGCCACAGACUUCCAACAUGUACUAGCCAUAUACUCCAUGGACUCAACCACCAUGGGCAACACCACCUUGCCCCUAUCCUACUUCCUCCUGGCAGCCGCAUCCUACCAACAACCAGCAGCAAGGGAUUUUAGGGCCACGACCACCUCACUCUUUCUACACUGCAACUUCAUCCCCCUCCACCGCUCCAAGUGUCGACGGAUUUGCUCCAACCGAUAUCGAGGCUGCAAUGCACACUCUAUCUCUCCAACCCCCUGACCACAAUUGGUACAUGGAUACCGGUGCUACUUCACACUUGACCGCCGAUGGAGGUAAUCUUACGUCGUAUUGUAAUUUGAGCAAAAAUCAUGCAAUUAUUGUUGGUAAUGGCUCUAAAAUUCCAAUUCAUGGUUAUGGUUGUACUACCCUUGAUCAUUCUCAUCCCCCUUUUAAAUUCAAUAAUGUCUUACAUGCCCCUCACCUCAUUAAAAACCUUAUUUCUGUUAGAAAAUUCACUACUGACAAUAAUGUUUCAAUUGAAUUUGAUCCCUUUGGUUUUUGUGUGAAGGAACUGGAGACGGGGAGACCCCUAUGAGAUGUAAGAGCACGGGCGAUCUUUAUCCUCUAACCUCUUCGGCAACAUCAUCACCAUUUUCCUUUACUGCUUUAUCCCCUAGUUUGUGGCAUUCCCGUUUGGGCCACCCAAGAAAUGCAAUUCUAAAUUCCCUAAGAACUACAAACUUAAUCUCUUAUAAUAAAGCCCCCCAAAUUUUUUGUGAUUCAUGUCCCCUUGGGAAACAUAUGAAUUACCUUUUUAUGCUUCUAAUUCAGUUACUUUGAUGCCAUUUGAUAUUAUACAUAGUGAUUUGUGGACUUCCCCCGUCUUAAGUUCAUCCGGUCAUCGCUAUUAUGUCUUAUUUAUUGAUAACUAUAGCAAUUUCUUAUGGACAUAUCCUAUCUCAAACAAAUCCAAAGUCUAUGAUUUAUUUUUCACAUUUCGAAAUUAUAUUAAAACUCAAUUUGAACGUGACAUUAAGAAUUUCCAAUGUGACAAUGGCCGGGAAUUUUCUAAUAGUUCCUUUCAACAAUUUUGUAAGCUAAAUGGUAUGCAUUUCCCUUUUUCAUGUCCCGACACUUCCUCUCAAAACGGCAAAGCCGAACGCAAAAUCAAAUCCAUUAAUAACUAACUCAUCCAAGACAAUCAAAACCAUGAAAAACAAUAGAAAUCAAACAGAUUUGAGAUGGAAGAAAUGAUGAUCGAAUUUGAUCAUUUCACUAUUCAAAAUCAACCCAAGGUAAAAUAAACGACAUUGUAAGUUUUUUAAGUUAAUUCUUUUUAUAAUUUCAUUAUAAAUUUUAAGGAAUAUUUUGUUCAUGAAAAUAGUAUUUUCAAUUGAAGAUUUAAAGAUCAAAUUUAAUGAUGCAAAUAUACUAAUGGAAAAAACCUUAUUUGCUGCGGUUUUUUGGCCAUAAUAUGCUGCGGUUUUGACCCCAAGCAUUAGUGAUAGCAGCAGAUGACUUAUUUUAAAUGUUGCAGUUCAAAACCGCAGCAGAUGGCUUAUAUGCUGCAGGCAUCCCAAAAACCGCAGCAUAUAGUCAUACACUAUUAGGGAUGGCAAUUCAGUCCGAAUCCGCCCCUGAUCCGACUCGAUCCGAUGAUUUUAAUCCGAUUCGAUCCGAGGUGGAAAAUAUCCGAUUAUAUAAUCCGAGUCCGAUUUAGAGUUGGACCGGAGCUAGACCUCAUAAAAAAUCCGAUAAUCCGACUCCGACUCCGACUCCGACUCCAACUCCGAAUCCGACUCUAACUCCACCCGAUUCGACCCGACAUCCGACUCAACUUUUAAUUUAAGGCAUAUUUAUAUUUUGAAAAAUUUGAACUUUAUAUGAAAAUAAAUUUAUUCUAACCAAAAUUGCAAACUUGACAUCUAACUAUCUGAUUGACUAAUUACAUUGUAAGUGAGAUUGAAUAUUGUAAGUUUAAUCAAGUUGAGUGAAUGAAACUUAUCAAAACAAUCGAUUAGAUUAUUAUAGACUUAAAUGAAACCUAAAACUAACUAAAAUAAACUAUUAGAAAUAUAGUAUUAGUCUACAUAUUAAUUAAUAUUAAUCAAUUAGAUAUUUAAUCGAUCGUUUAAUAAAGAUUUAAUUGGAACUUGUCUAAUAUAGACUUGAAGCUAUGUCGUUAAAUUGUAAGUGAGAUUGAAUAUUGUAAGUUUCAUCAAGUUGAAUGAACAAAACUAAUCAAAACAAUCUAUUAGACUAUCAGACUUAUAGUCUUACAUAGAUACUUAAUCGACAGUAUAUUAAAGAAUUAAUUGUAACUUGUAAGUUGUCAAUUAUUAUGAAUUAAAUGAAAUUUAACCACUAAUAACGAAUUAAAAUUUUAUUUAAUUAUGUUUAUAUUAUAUAUAAGUUAUUUAAUAACCUCAUAAUUCUAAAUAAUUCUUAUUCAAGUUUAUUGCUAAUUAGCUUUUUUAAGAAAAUAUUCAUUAAAAUAGUAUUUACCAUUAAUUAAAUUUAAGCCAUUGAUAAUGUGUAAUGUGGAUGAAUGAAUGGUUUUGAUAAUGUCCACCUCAUCUAUCCUUAAAAACUUUCAAUAACCAAUUACAUACACCUAUGAAUGCCACAUGAAUUUUGGAUUUUAACCAUUGAUUUCAAAAUGGUUUCAAUCUUAACCCUUCAUUAAUGUUGACAUAAGAGUAAAAAAAAAAUAAUAAUAAUAAUAAUAAAAGAAAAAGACUAAAUCUAACAAUACUUCACAUUUCUAAUUCUGUUUUCUGACCAAUCUUCCCGCAAGAUUCAUCCCUUCCAAAAAAAAAAAGAAAAACACUCUACUCUACAGCUAUCAUUCAGCCUCUGCCGCCUGCCGCCGGUGGCUCAGACGCUACAGUCUAACGCUGCUCCUGCUCGCUGCUGCUCACGCCUCACUUGGUCGAAAGUCGAGGGUCGACUGUACUCUACUCCUCUUUACAAAAACCCUAAAAAUCAAAUUUUUGAUUUUUUUAGAUAUAUGUGCUUCGAGCCCCGCUACACCCGCCUACAAAAUAGCAGCAACUGCUGCCUUUUCAUGCACCACCAGCAGCAGCUACGACUGUCUGCACUACCACCAAGGCCCACCGCGGUGUCUUGACCCUCCUGUGAAAGUUUUGUUCAUAGCUUUGAAAGUUUUGUCCUUCUUAGCUUUAGUUUUUUAAUAUUUAGCUUUGAAAGUUUGUACAUAUAUAGAAUACAUUCAAGAUUGAAGUUCUGCAGUUCCAUGUUCUUUGAUCACAUUUAACAAGGUUCCAUUAACUAUUGCUUUA
Molecule: RNA transcript, 4819 nt
Organism: Amaranthus tricolor (Joseph's coat)
Lineage: Eukaryota; Viridiplantae; Streptophyta; Magnoliopsida; Caryophyllales; Amaranthaceae
Gene name: zinc finger BED domain-containing protein DAYSLEEPER-like
Exons: 3
Source: RefSeq, a predicted model, not a curated record